RNAcentral lists this unclassified non-coding RNA (1468 nucleotides) under Hevea brasiliensis (rubber tree). Lineage: Eukaryota; Viridiplantae; Streptophyta; Magnoliopsida; Malpighiales; Euphorbiaceae. The record is from RNAcentral.
AAGCUCCAGAAGCAUAUGCUGAAGUAGAAGCAAGUUUUACAAAAUAGCUAAAGUAUUACAAAACCAGAACUAAAGACUAUUUUCUAAUACAGACUUACAGGUUAAUAUGCACUACAGGUACAAUUAUGCAAGAUUUGGUACAUAAGCAUAACACAAAUUGCAGCUUAGCCAUCCCCAUCAGGAAAAAGUAAAGAGAAACCAUCAAAACAUUCAGGAAGCCAUUACCCUUACGCAUUAGAGUUCACUUCUGAAUCAAUCUAAAAUUUAACUUGGAACCAACUCGCUGUAUCCCUUUCACAAAAUUUUCUGUCGCUACUUGAAUAAUUGUGUAAAUGACUGGCUUGUUGCUUUAUCAUAAUCUAGCGUCGGUCAACAUCUUCCCAAAUGCAUUAACAACAUUGAUAACGCUUAGAACUAAUGGGCUGGGUAUCGUAGAGGAAUCAAAUGUGCCUGUCCAUCUUCAGCUAAGUCAGCCACAGCAACAGAACUAUGAUACACAAGCAAGAGCUACAAAAUUAGGGUAUAACUUCCUCCACAUGACAAGCAUUUUGAUUAUGUCCCCCAGUUGCUUUAUCAUAAAUUGAUGCCAAGCCCCUUUUUUCUCUGAUAACUCUCGGACUUGGCGUUGCUUAUGUUAACAACUAGGGCUGAUACUGAUCCCAUGAUCCAUUCAGUGUUCACUGAUAAUGGUCCCUGGCAGACCUACACAAUAAUCCAUUCAAAGAAAAUAUUUGCAAAAAUGGAGGAAAUAGACAUUGCAAGAACAUACACUAUUAAAAUCGGAACAGAUUAGACAAAUCAAAAGAACACGGAAACAAGGAAACUAAAAAGUAGAAAAAUAAGAAAGAACAUGCCACUGCAAUACACCCUUGACCCCUUGCUUGCUUGUCAUCAAAUUAACACAGCUAUAAAGCAUGAACAUAAUGAUAGAUAUUGUGGAUGUAUAAUUAGCAAAUUGCUCGUAAGAUGUGGAAAAUGAAAGCAAUUCACUUUGAUACUAACCCCUGGCUUAUUUAUGCUUAUGCUGUGACAGAAGAUCACCUCAUUCAAUGAAAUGUUGCCAAAUAAACCAUCACACGUGCAGCUUCAAGAAGUCCUUUGUCAAGGACAUUGGUUUACAAAUGGCAACUUCAUAGCAAUGACUGGAGAGCAAAGAGCAUCCAGAUCUUCAAUAAAAGCAGCCACUGUUCAAGUUCAGCAUACAAAACAUAACUUCCACAAUAACAUUACCAAGAAGAAGAAAGUCUGAGAGCCAAACGGCAUCUUCUGAUUCCGUUGUACCUCUAAAAAUCAGCUGCAGAUUAUUCAAAUAAAGAGAAACCAGCAUUAAAGAGUCAAUAUAAUUAAUCUUAAAGCAAAGCUAGUUAUCGGCAAGGAAAAAAAAUGGGAAAAACUAGAAGAAAUUUGUGAUCAGAAAAUAGGAAAGUUGGGAUCGAAAUCUGUGGGAAAAUCGGAGAGAAAAGAGAAG